GGGUCGUUAGCUCAGUUGGUAGAGCAGUUGACUUUUAAUCAAUUGGUCGCAGGUACGACCCACCA
Molecule: transfer RNA, 65 nt
Filed under: Klebsiella michiganensis
Lineage: Bacteria; Pseudomonadati; Pseudomonadota; Gammaproteobacteria; Enterobacterales; Enterobacteriaceae
Description: tRNA-Lys
Rfam family: tRNA
About the family: Transfer RNA (tRNA) molecules are approximately 80 nucleotides in length. Their secondary structure includes four short double-helical elements and three loops (D, anti-codon, and T loops). Further hydrogen bonds mediate the characteristic L-shaped molecular structure. tRNAs have two regions of fundamental functional importance: the anti-codon, which is responsible for specific mRNA codon recognition, and the 3' end, to which the tRNAs corresponding amino acid is attached (by aminoacyl-tRNA synthetases). tRNAs cope with the degeneracy of the genetic code in two manners: having more than one tRNA (with a specific anti-codon) for a particular amino acid; and 'wobble' base-pairing, i.e. permitting non-standard base-pairing at the 3rd anti-codon position.
Source: RNAcentral